GAUGAACGCUGGCGGCGUGCCUAAUACAUGCAAGUCGAGCGAACGGACGAGAAGCUUGCUUCUCUGAUGUUAGCGGCGGACGGGUGAGUAACACGUGGAUAACCCACCUAUAAGACUGGGAUAAAUUCGGGAAACCGUAGCUAAUACCGGAUAAUAUUUUGAACCGCAUGGUUCAAAAGUGAAAGAAGGUCUUGCUGUAACUUAUAGAUGGAUCCGCGCUGCAUUAGCUAGUUGGUAAGGUAACGGCUUACCAAGGCAACGAUGCAUAGCCGACCUGAGAGGGUGAUCGGCCACACUGGAACUGAGACACGGUCCAGACUCCUACGGGAGGCAGCAGUAGGGAAUCUUCCGCAAUGGGCGAAAGCCUGACGGAGCAACGCCGCGUGAGUGAUGAAGGUCUUCGGAUCGUAAAACUCUGUUAUUAGGGAAGAACAUAUGUGUAAGUAACUGUGCACAUCUUGACGGUACCUAAUCAGAAAGCCACGGCUAACUACGUG
RNAcentral lists this ribosomal RNA (497 nucleotides) under uncultured bacterium. Its description in RNAcentral is "partial 16S ribosomal RNA". It matches the Rfam family "Bacterial small subunit ribosomal RNA", at positions 28 to 507 of the family's 1533-position model. The record is from RNAcentral.